This 459-nucleotide ribosomal RNA is filed under the name uncultured bacterium. Its description in RNAcentral is "partial 16S ribosomal RNA". It matches the Rfam family "Bacterial small subunit ribosomal RNA", at positions 338 to 795 of the family's 1533-position model. The record is from RNAcentral.
CCUACGGGUGGCUGCAGUGAGGAAUAUUGGUCAAUGGCCGGAAGGCUGAACCAGCCAAGCCGCGUGAAGGACGACGGCGCUAAGAGUUGUAAACUUCUUUUGUCCAGGGACAAAAUCAGACACGCGUGUCUGACUGAGAGUACCGGAAGAAAAAGCAUCGGCUAACUCCGUGCCAGCAGCCGCGGUAAUACGGAGGAUGCGAGCGUUAUCCGGAUUUAUUGGGUUUAAAGGGUGGGUAGGCGGACGGUAAAGUCAGCGGUAAAAGCCCGGGGCUCAACCCCGGAGUGCCGUUGAAACUGGCUGGCUUGAGAGGACGAGCGGUAGGCGGAAUGCGUGGUGUAGCGGUGAAAUGCUUAGAUAUCACGCAGAACUCCGAUUGCGAAGGCAGCAUACCGGCGGACAUCUGACGCUGAGGCACGAAAGCGUGGGGAUCGAACAGGAUUAGAUACCCGAGUAGUC